GUGUUGUAUGAAAGGAGAGAAAGUUAGCGCUACCCUUGAUAAGGAUGGAAGAGGCCCUCAGGCCUGAUGACCCACACAUGAUUAAGGCAUUGCCACCUACUUCUUGGCAUAAACACACACUAAU
RNAcentral lists this non-coding RNA (124 nucleotides) under Chinchilla lanigera (long-tailed chinchilla). The record is from RNAcentral. Lineage: Eukaryota; Metazoa; Chordata; Mammalia; Rodentia; Chinchillidae.